RNAcentral lists this ribosomal RNA (253 nucleotides) under uncultured bacterium. RNAcentral describes it as "partial 16S ribosomal RNA". It matches the Rfam family "Bacterial small subunit ribosomal RNA", at positions 524 to 776 of the family's 1533-position model. The record is from RNAcentral.
UACGGGGGGAGCAAGCGUUGUUCGGAUUUAUUGGGCGUAAAGAGCGCGUAGGCGGUCCGAUAAGUCGGCUGUGAAAGUCAGGGGCUCAACCCUUGGAAGCCGGCCGAUACUGUCGGACUAGAGUCCGGAAGAGGAGAGUGGAAUUCCUGGUGUAGCGGUGAAAUGCGCAGAUAUCAGGAAGAACACCUAUGGCGAAGGCAGCUCUCUGGGACGGUACUGACGCUGAGACGCGAAAGCGUGGGGAGCGAACAGG